RNAcentral lists this ribosomal RNA (497 nucleotides) under uncultured bacterium. RNAcentral describes it as "partial 16S ribosomal RNA". It matches the Rfam family "Bacterial small subunit ribosomal RNA", at positions 28 to 507 of the family's 1533-position model. The record is from RNAcentral.
GAUGAACGCUGGCGGCGUGCCUAAUACAUGCAAGUCGAGCGAACAGACGAGGAGCUUGCUCCUCUGACGUUAGCGGCGGACGGGUGAGUAACACGUGGAUAACCUACCUAUAAGCCUGGGAUAACUUCGGGAAACCGGAGCUAAUACCGGAUAAUAUAUUGAACCGCAUGGUUCAAUAGUGAAAGACGGUUUUGCUGUCACUUCUAGAUGGAUCCGCGCCGCAUUAGCUAGUUGGUAAGGUAACGGAUUACCAAGGCAACGAUGCGUAGCCGACCUGAGAGGGUGAUCGGCAACACUGGAACAGAGACACGGACCAGACUCCUACGGGAGGCAGCGGUAGGGAAUCUUCCGCAAUGGGCGAAAGCCUGACGGAGCAACGCCGCGUGAGUGAUGAAGGUCUUCGGAUCGUAAAACUCUGUUAUUAGGGAAGAACAAAUGUGAAAGUAACUAUGCACGUCUUGACGGUACCUAAUCAGAAAGCCACGGCUAACUACGUG